UACGGGGGGGGCAAGCGUUGUUCGGAAUUACUGGGCGUAAAGAGCUCGUAGGUGGUUUGUCGCGUUGUCCGUGAAAACUCACAACUCAAUUGUGGGCGUGCGGGCGAUACGGGCAGGCUGGAGUACUGCAGGGGAGACUGGAAUUCCUGGUGUAGCGGUGGAAUGCGCAGAUAUCAGGAGGAACACCGGUGGCGAAGGCGGGUCUCUGGGCAGUAACUGACGCUGAGGAGCGAAAGCGUGGGGAGCGAACAGG
RNAcentral lists this ribosomal RNA (253 nucleotides) under uncultured bacterium. RNAcentral describes it as "partial 16S ribosomal RNA". It matches the Rfam family "Bacterial small subunit ribosomal RNA", at positions 524 to 776 of the family's 1533-position model. The record is from RNAcentral.